Molecule: ribosomal RNA, 1252 nt
Filed under: metagenome
Description: bacterial LSU rRNA
Rfam family: Bacterial large subunit ribosomal RNA
Source: RNAcentral
CACACGACCGUACCGCAAACCGACACUGGUGCGCGAGAUGAGUAUUCUAAGGCGCUUGAGAGAACUCAGGAGAAGGAACUCGGCAAAUUGACACCGUAACUUCGGAAGAAGGUGUGCCUUUAGUAGGUGAACCAUUUACUUGGGGAGCCCAAUGAGGCUGCAAAAAAUCGGUGGCUGCAACUGUUUAUUAAAAACACAGCACUCUGCUAAGACGAAAGUCGACGUAUAGGGUGUGACGCCUGCCCGGUGCUGGAAGAUUAAAUGAUGGGGUGCAAGCUCUUGAUUGAAGUCCCAGUAAACGGCGGCCGUAACGAUAACGGUCCUAAGGUAGCGAAAUUCCUUGUCGGGUAAGUUCCGACCUGCACGAAUGGCGUAAUGAUGGCCACACUGUCUCCUCCUGAGACUCAGCGAAGUUGAAAUGUUUGUGAUGAUGCAAUCUCCCCGCGGAAAGACGGAAAGACCCCAUGAACCUUUACUGUAGCUUUGUAUUGGACUUUGAACAGAUCUGUGUAGGAUAGGUGGGAGGCUUUGAAGUGUGGUCGCUAGAUCGCAUGGAGCCAACGUUGAAAUACCACCCUGGUGUGUUUGAGGUUCUAACCUAGGUCCAUUAUCUGGAUCGGGGACAGUGCAUGGUAGGCAGUUUGACUGGGGCGGUCUCCUCCCAAAGUGUAACGGAGGAGUUCGAAGGUACGCUAGGUACGGUCGGACAUCGUGCUAAUAGUGCAAUGGCAUAAGCGUGCUUAACUGCGAGACUGACAAGUCGAGCAGAUGCGAAAGCAGGACAUAGUGAUCCGGUGGUUCUGUAUGGAAGGGCCAUCGCUCAACGGAUAAAAGGUACUCUGGGGAUAACAGGCUGAUACCGCCCAAGAGUUCAUAUCGACGGCGGUGUUUGGCACCUCGAUGUCGGCUCAUCUCAUCCUGGGGCUGUAGCCGGUCCCAAGGGUAUGGCUGUUCGCCAUUUAAAGAGGUACGUGAGCUGGGUUUAAAACGUCGUGAGACAGUUUGGUCCCUAUCUUCCGUGGGCGCUGCAGAUUUGAGGAAGCCUGCUCCUAGUACGAGAGGACCGGAGUGGACGAACCUCUGGUGUAUCGGUUGUCACGCCAGUGGCAUUGCCGAGUAGCUAAGUUCGGAAGAGAUAACCGCUGAAAGCAUCUAAGCGGGAAACUCGUUUCAAGAUUAGAUCUGCCGGGGCCUUGAGCCCCCUAAAGAGUCGUUCAAGACCAGGACGUUGAUAGGUCAGGUGUGGAAGCCA